Molecule: long non-coding RNA, 1618 nt
Filed under: Macaca fascicularis (crab-eating macaque)
Lineage: Eukaryota; Metazoa; Chordata; Mammalia; Primates; Cercopithecidae
Description: lncRNA (ENSMFAG00000057554.1)
Source: RNAcentral
CAAGAAUCAAAUAUGUAAAUUAUGCUUUAAACAAUAAAGUAGGAUUUAAAUCAUUUAAAAAACUAAACUGCAGGGAAUUUCAGAUGACGUAAGCAUUAUUUCAUUUUGAGGGUAGUUUAUUUUUUUCUCUGUCCUUUUGGUAUGAUUAAACAAGAAAUAAAAGGUGUUGUGGAACCUUAAAAUUCUUAAUUCAAAAUAUUCGGUCCUGUCCACUGUUUAUAAUAUUUUGUGCCUUGAAGGGAAUGUCACAGGAGGAAAAGGAAGACUAAAACCUGCAUACUAAAUGCCCUCAUAACUAUAAAUCUCUUGUUGUUAAAAAACAUCUCUUGCGCCAAAACUUGCCUUCAGUCUUUUGUUUAACCCUCAGUGAACUAUCAAUUGAAGGCAUAAGUUGGCCUUAGCUUGUACACAGGUGUCAACCUCUACUUGACAUUUACUGUAUAAUCUGCAGCAUGCUAUAGAAAGUGGGAAGGAAGGGAGGAAAAUAAUUACAGUCAAAAUAUUUCCAAUCUAUCUGCUCAUUUUGCUUUCAAUCACUAGAGCGCAUUAUAUUUUUAAUGCAAGUUUGUCUGGGAUGUCAACUGCCUACAGAUGUUUAUUACUAGCAGAACAGAUUAUUUAUUAAUAGAUUGUUUCUUUUCAUACAGUCCAGUGGUUCAUCAUCAGGAACUUUCGGUUGUAAAAAAAGAAAUAUUACUUUUGUCUGCUAAAGUAAACCAUAUAUAGGGAAAUUAACACCUAGGAAAAGAAAACUGGCAAGAGAAUUGAUGAGAUAUUAGUGGCUUAGAAGAAUUAGUAAUAUAAGUUGGGAAUAAAGGGGUAGCCCCAUAGUGGUAAGUAAAGAUGUAGUUCUCCAUUGUUUUUGCUAUUUAAAUAUAAUGUAUCAAAAACCUUUAUUCCAAAUAAUUUCCCCAAAUGGUUUAUUUUAUUCAUAUCCUAUGUAAUCCUAGAAGCACCUUCUCACUAUGUGCUGUAGUUUGAAACCUAACUAAUCCUCCUACUGGAGACACUGUAGAGAAGUAAAAAUUGUUGCUUCUCUUUUGUUUUAAGAGGAAAUGAGAAGGCCAGCAGAAGUAGAUUAAAACUAGAGAGCUGGUUUAUUAAAAUAAGCAGAUAAUUACCCAGGCUUAAAGUAAUAGCUUACAUGUUUUGAAAAUCUUUGUACUUAUUUUUGUUUUUAUUGUUGCAAAAAAUGUUAAUGGGCUGUUGAAAUGACCUCCAUUUACUUAAGGUAAUCCAAUAAGAUCUUUUUUAAAUAUACAAAUUUUACUCAAGUUUAAAUUGUGCAAAACUGCUUAGAAACCUGAAAUUUUAUAGUGUGUAAUAUCUUAUGUGUAUAUAGCAUCCUGAGCUGUGUGAUACAGUAGAUUUCUUCUUAACAGAAACAUCAUGCGAGGUGGAUUUAAUAAACCACAAAAAUCAGCUUAUGUUUCUACUUAUUGAAUCUGCUUUACUUUUUAGUAAUUUUCUUCCUUGUGAACAUGAACCAUAUAAAGUGUCUGUGACUUAAUGAUUUCAUGUAAGUCUUUCGCAUACAUCCUUCUUUUGUAACUUACACCAUGUGGAUGCUCUGUCUGUAGACAUUGCUUGAUAAAAGGAGAAUAAACCUCUUACAUUU